AUACGUAGGUGGCAAGCGUUGUCCGGAAUUAUUGGGCGUAAAGCGCGCGCAGGUGGUUCCUUAAGUCUGAUGUGAAAGCCCCCGGCUCAACCGGGGAGGGUCAUUGGAAACUGGGGAACUUGAGUGCAGAAGAGGAUAGUGGAAUUCCAAGUGUAGCGGUGAAAUGCGUAGAGAUUUGGAGGAACACCAGUGGCGAAGGCGACUGUCUGGUCUGUAACUGACACUGAGGCGCGAAAGCGUGGGAAGCAAACAGGAUUAGAUGCCCUGGUAGUCCACGCCGUAAACGAUGAGUGCUAAGUGUUGGGGGGUUUCCGCCCCUCAGUGCUGCAGCUAACGCAUUAAGCACUCCGCCUGGGGAGUACGGUCGCAAGACUGAAACUCAAAGGAAUUGACGGGG
This 397-nucleotide ribosomal RNA is filed under the name uncultured bacterium. Its description in RNAcentral is "partial 16S ribosomal RNA". It matches the Rfam family "Bacterial small subunit ribosomal RNA", at positions 523 to 918 of the family's 1533-position model. The record is from RNAcentral.